RNAcentral lists this ribosomal RNA (468 nucleotides) under uncultured bacterium. Its description in RNAcentral is "partial 16S ribosomal RNA". It matches the Rfam family "Bacterial small subunit ribosomal RNA", at positions 28 to 507 of the family's 1533-position model. The record is from RNAcentral.
GACGAACGCUGGCGGCGUGCUUAACACAUGCAAGUCGAACGGAAAGGCCCUGCUUUUGUGGGGUGCUCGAGUGGCGAACGGGUGAGUAACACGUGAGUAACCUGCCCUUGACUUUGGGAUAACUUCAGGAAACUGGGGCUAAUACCGGAUAGGAUCUCCUGCUGCAUGGUGGGGGUUGGAAAGUUUCGGCGGUUGGGGAUGGACUCGCGGCUUAUCAGCUUGUUGGUGGGGUAGUGGCGUACCAAGGCUUUGACGGGUAGCCGGCCUGAGAGGGUGACCGGCCACAUUGGGACUGAGAUACGGCCCAGAAUCCUACGGGAGGCAGCAGUGGGGAAUAUUGCACAAUGGGCGGAAGCCUGAUGCAGCAACGCCGCGUGCGGGAUGACGGCCUUCGGGUUGUAAACCGCUUUCGCCUGUGACGAAGCGUGAGUGACGGUAAUGGGUAAAGAAGCACCGGCUAACUACGUG